GGCCUAACACAUGCAAGUCGAGCGGAUGACGGGAGCUUGCUCCUUGAUUCAGCGGCGGACGGGUGAGUAAAGCCUAGGAAUCUGCCUGGUAGUGGGGGACAACGUUUCGAAAGGAACGCUAAUACCGCAUACGUCCUACGGGAGAAAGCAGGGGACCUUCGGGCCUUGCGCUAUCAGAUGAGCCUAGGUCGGAUUAGCUAGUUGGUGGGGUAAUGGCUCACCAAGGCGACGAUCCGUAACUGGUCUGAGAGGAUGAUCAGUCACACUGGAACUGAGACACGGUCCAGACU
This 290-nucleotide ribosomal RNA is filed under the name Pseudomonas sp. RNAcentral's name for it is "partial 16S ribosomal RNA". It matches the Rfam family "Bacterial small subunit ribosomal RNA", at positions 46 to 337 of the family's 1533-position model. Lineage: Bacteria; Pseudomonadati; Pseudomonadota; Gammaproteobacteria; Pseudomonadales; Pseudomonadaceae. The record is from RNAcentral.